CCGUUUAGGGGUAAACCUGAGAAACCCGAAAGGUCGAAGGAAGAAAUUCAUUCGCGGUCCAAUAGGGUUAUUGUAUGGUCGUGUGUGUCGAAAAUUAAAUUCGUUUAAUUAUCGCCCUGCCAUAUAAUAUAUAUGUACCUUAUUGAACGCGUGCACUUUUCUUCUGGUAGGACGUCGCGAUCCGUUGAGUAUCGAUCUACGGUACGGGUGGUUGAUCAUUGAUUGAUAAAUUUUCGGAUUUAUCUAAAUUAAUGAACCCUCGUGUAUGCCCGAUCGAUUGGCUCGACGGUAUAUGUGAAAGGUUUUAGGCCGCUUAUUAUUAAAAAGCGUUCGGCUUGUGGCAAGCACGUCAAAUUUUCUGGUAUCUCGGACCUAGUGCCGAAUCUGGACAUUGACGACUGUUGGCUACUUUUGUCUCGAACAGUGUCUUUAAAAUCGAUCUGCGACGAUAUAGCUUUGGGUAAUUUCAGGACCCGUCUUGAAACACGGACCAAGGAGUCUAGCCUGUACGCAAGUCAUUGGGAUUUUCAAUAAACCUAAAGGCGUAAUGAAAGUGAACGUUUUCCUUUUAGGGUUAACGUAGGGAAGACGUGCGUUAUAAAUAUUUAUUUAUUUAUUCGUUCUGCAUUCCCGGGGCGUCUCGUUCUCAUUACGAGAAGAGGCGCACCAUGAGCGUACAUGCUGGGACCCGAAA
This 694-nucleotide ribosomal RNA is filed under the name Hypocryphalus montanus. RNAcentral describes it as "eukaryotic LSU rRNA". It matches the Rfam family "Eukaryotic large subunit ribosomal RNA", at positions 405 to 821 of the family's 3401-position model. The record is from RNAcentral. Lineage: Eukaryota; Metazoa; Arthropoda; Insecta; Coleoptera; Curculionidae.